CCAUGCUUUCCAGUCACAUUCGCAGCUUGUGAGAGAGAGGGAGCAGCGCUGAAGCUCCCUGGCUGAGUGCUGUUCGAGCCGGCAGGACAGUGCGUGCUUGCCCACGCUGUGGGUGCCCGCAGCUGAUGGACAACGGAACUCUGUGGGGGGGGCAGGAGCCCUGUGUGCCCCAGUGUCAGUGACACCGCUGUGUCCCUCACCUCCUCACCUUGUCUUUGUGGCUGUGGCCUCCGACGUGCUGGCCCCUCUGGGAGCUGCGUGUUCUGCCGGUGCUGGGGCAAUGCAGUGGGAGCUGUGCGGUGCCUGCCAGAGGAUGCUGUGGGCUUCUGUGGGAUUGCUUGGCUCCCAAAGUGACUGCAACUAACUCCAGGUUGGGACUGCUUCUCGGAGGAUGCUGUGUGCAUCUCCACUUGUUUCCCUCCAGCCUCGCUGCGGAGUAUUUGGAGUAAUUCAUUUGCCCCUGCCAAUGGAGGACAGAGUCGCAGGCCUCCAGAGGGUUAAGAGCAUCUGCCUUUACGCCAAGUGUUCAAGCAGGAAAUAAUCUGCAGAGAUACAUGUGCAGCAAUUCAACUGCUGCUGCUCUCCCAGGCUGCCGCCGCUGCUGCUGCUCGGUGUGUGUCAGGAGCCGCGCUCGUCAGAGAAGAUGCUUUCUUGGUGUGUCCGAGGUGCUGGGCAUGGCAGCAGAGCCCCUGCUCCUAGGGCUGAGGUAAACGUCUCCAUCCACAAGGAAUUAUGUUGACCUGCAGGCUCUGCUGGCUCAGUGAGAAGCAUAUUCAGCCUUGAUUAAGGAGUGCAGAUCACUGGGACUCAAAUGUGUCCUAAGGGUAGUUGCUUUGCAUUAGUCCAUGUGAAUGCUGGAUGAAGUCCUCUCUGCAUCCUGAGAAGCAGUACUUUUCCAAGGCAUGCAUCAACACUUUUGUGUAUAGACUGAGUCCUAUCUGUGGAUUCCAGACCCACAAAGAUAACUAUGAUCAGGAGAGAACUAUCAGCCACAUCACUGCCCUCAGCGAUGAUGAAUUCCUAUCCCUCAGUGGAUUUUGCAAAUGUAUUUACAAUGUUCUUACGUUGAUGUAGAAGAUGGUAUCUCCCAGAGACAAGCAAAAAGCUCACAGGAAACCCUUUGUGAGUAAUAAUUAGAGCUGUAUUCAUGUCUGAUUGUUUUGAGAUUUCUGCAACAAAGCUGUCCAUACCGAGGUGGAAUUUGAACUUGCAUUACGAGUUACUCAAGGAUCUCUUUUUUUGCUUCUGGGUGACGGAGGAAAAGUGAGAAAACACUUAAAUUGGGCACUGAAAUUCCCAGUGGUGUGAGAAGUGCCAUAGGGGGCUGGAUGUGUCUUGUAACAGCAGCAGUCUCUUUGAAGAUGGAGUAGCAUAGGGG
RNAcentral lists this long non-coding RNA (1378 nucleotides) under Numida meleagris (helmeted guineafowl). RNAcentral's name for it is "lncRNA (ENSNMEG00000015600.1)". The record is from RNAcentral. Lineage: Eukaryota; Metazoa; Chordata; Aves; Galliformes; Numididae.